Clupea harengus (Atlantic herring) is the source of this 1077-nucleotide long non-coding RNA. The record is from Ensembl. NCBI's taxonomy places the organism in Eukaryota, Metazoa, Chordata, Actinopteri, Clupeiformes, Clupeidae.
AGGAGGAGAGGAAAGAGAGGGAGCUCAUGAAGAACCAGGAGGUCGACCUUGAGAGUAUUUCCAAUACCUUGUUGGAGUUCAUGAAAGAUCUUGAGAACCAGCUGAAUACCAUACGAGCAAUGUUUCAAAGGCUACCGGUGCCUUUCAAGGAGGUCCUUGAGAAAUCCCAGCAGAAGCUCACUUCAGGAGAUGACCAGACGAUCCAGAGAAGGGCAGAGAAAGAGGGAGAAGCUAGAGAUGAGGGAAAUGCCAAGAAAGCAGAAAAAGAGAUGCGGCUGAAGGAGAAGGAGGAGAAAAAGCUGUCUCAGUUCCUGGACAAAAGAAAACAAGAGCACGUGAAACGCCAGGGGAAGAUCAGGAAGGAUGAGCUCAAGAGGAUGAAGAGGACUCUUGAUGAGACACUCAAACAAGAAGAAGCUGAACUCAAGCAAAAAAUAAAGGAUGAGAAGAUGAAACUGGAGGCAAGGAACAAAUGGGAAAUAGCCCUGAUGAAGACGGCACACGAGCACCGCAAGUGGAGGGAAACACAGAAUAAAAUACAAGUUGAGGAACAGAGAAAGCAACUGAAGCAUUCCAUGAAAGACCAAGAAAUUGCGGAGAAGAAACAACAAAAGGAGCAGAAGAAACAAGAAAAGGAGCAGAAAGAGAGAGAGGAACGUGAACUAAAACUACAGAAGAAAGCUGCCACGCAAGAAAAAUGGAGAGUUGAACGGCAGAAAAAACAAGAACGAUUCGAACAGACUUACUACAGGCUCUUAGCAAAUCAGACUGCUCGAAAAGAAAUUAUGCUAGCCAAAGCAAAAGAAAGAGAGAAACUGAAAGAGCUGACUCAGAAACCAAAAAUGAGGAUAACUAUUGUAAAGAAGCCAUGCUUUAUAUGGAAUCUCUUUGGGGGGAGAAAUAAGAAAGAGGGAAAACAGGAGCAGGAGCAACUGAAGGAGGAGGCAGCAGAGUCUUAUAGGGCAGAAGAAGAGGUGGAUGAAACACUGGCUUCUGAGAGGGACGUAAGCAGAUGUGGAUAUGACAGCGUGGAUAUGACAAGAGGACAAUCACCAGUGUCCUUCACUGACACAGGAA